Rattus norvegicus (Norway rat) is the source of this 1047-nucleotide long non-coding RNA. RefSeq lists it as uncharacterized. The record is from RefSeq and is a predicted model, not a curated record. NCBI's taxonomy places the organism in Eukaryota, Metazoa, Chordata, Mammalia, Rodentia, Muridae.
GCAAGCUGAGCAAGCCAGGGGAAGCAAGCCAGUAAGUAACAUCCUUCCAUGGCCUCUGCAUCAGCUCCAGCUUCCUGACCUGCUACAUUCCAGUCCUGACUUCCUUUGGCGAUGAACAGCAACUGACAAACAGCAAUGCGACACUAUGGGAGACUCAUGAGGUGAGUCGUCGUAGUCCCCGAGACAGAAUAUCUGUAAUCAUUCCCGGAUUGAAUAUAUUUCUGAUGAUCAGAAUGGAGGUGAGCAAUAAGAUGGCUUCUCCGUCCUGUGCCCUCUUGCAACCAUCAUCUCACGGGGCCCACAGGAGGAGACUCCAACUCACUACCUGGCACUGGGCAUGAAGUCCCAUGCCAGGAGGCCUGCGAGGUGGCUACGGGGGCUUCCACAAGGAGGAAGGCUCAUGGACAGUCUAAGGAUAUAGAACCAAGAAAGAUUAUAGUUUGUCUGCUAAAGCUUCUCUCCUACAAUGCCAGAAACCAAGCCUCAAGAGCUUUUAAGAAAGAGGAGAAAAUAUAUCCCCAAGAAAAGGAAAGAUGAUGAGAAAACAUUUUAAAGAGAGAGAUACUGAACAGAUGGACGAAGAACAGAAGCCCAGAGGAAUUAGACAUGUCACAUGACAUGUGCACUUGGGGUUCAUGGCUACUUCUCUAAUUGUCCUAAGUGAUAUUUUGGGUUUUCUUCAGCAUGUUAGAGUCAUCCCUUGAUUCUGCAUUACACGUCACGGACACGCUCUGGGUUCCAGUUGUAAUAAACUUCAGAAAUCAUAAAAUGUCCCUUGUAAUACAAAACCACUCUCAGCAGCAGACUGUUGCAUAAACAUUCAUGUUAGAGCAAAGGCAUCACUAGAGUUUCAGUUUGGCCUUGAAACUACAAGGUUUUUUUUUUUAAAUCACUGGUAUGUGUUUGUUUGUUUUUAAGUUUUGCUCUUUCAUAGAGAAAGUGUUUUUCAGUCAUUCAAACUUGCUAUUGAUGAUCUGUUCCGUCUUGCUUAAGACACCAUGAUUGUUUAAACAACAUGCACUUGAUAAAAUUGUGUAGUACAAUCAA